Molecule: ribosomal RNA, 883 nt
Filed under: uncultured cyanobacterium
Lineage: Bacteria; Bacillati; Cyanobacteriota
Description: bacterial SSU rRNA
Rfam family: Bacterial small subunit ribosomal RNA
Source: RNAcentral
AGAGUUUGAUCCUGGCUCAGGAUGAACGCUGGCGAGAUGCUUUACACAUGCAAGUCGUACGAGAGUUUUUAACUCAAGUGGCGGACGGGUGAGUAACACGUAAGAAUUUGCCUUUAGGAGGGGGAUAACAACUGGAAACGGUUGCUAAUACCCCAUAUGCUUUCGAGUGAAAUGGAUUUUUCCGCCUAGAGAGAAGCUUGCGGCUGAUUAGCUUGUUGGUGAGGUAAUGGCUUACCAAGGCGACGAUCAGUAUCUGGUUUGAGAGGAUGAUCAGACACACUGGAACUGAGACACGGUCCAGACUCCUACGGGAGGCAGCAGUGGGGAAUUUUCCGCAAUGGGCGAAAGCCUGACGGAGCAAUCUCGCGUGAGGGAUGACGGCCUAUGGGUUGUAAACCUCUUUUUUCAGGGAGGAAUAAAUGACGUGUACCUGAAGAAUAAGCAUCGGCUAACUCCGUGCCAGCAGCCGCGGUAAGACGGAGGAUGCAAGUGUUAUCCGGAAUCACUGGGCGUAAAGCGUCUGUAGGUGGUUUAAUAAGUCAACUGUUAAAUCUUGAAGCUCAACUUCAAAAUCGCAGUCGAAACUAUUAGACUAGAGUAUAGUAGGGUAAAGGGAAUUUCCAGUGGAGCGGUGAAAUGCGUAGAGACUGGAAAGAACACCGAUGGCGAAGGCACUUUACUGGGCUAUUUACUAACACUGAGAGACGAAAGCUAGGGUAGCAAAUGGGAUUAGAUACCCAGUAGUCCUAGCCCGUAAACAUGGAUACUAGAUGUUGAACAGAUCGACUGUGCAGUAAUAAAGCUACGCGUAGUAUCCCGCUGGCAGUAUGCUCGCAGAUGAAACUCAGGAAGUGACCGAGCCGCACAGCGUGAAGCAUGUGGU